GAAUGAAAAACUGCUACUGGAGAGGAACAGUGCAGAGGAUCGGCUUAACAAGCUGAAAAGAGCUAACACGGACAUCAGGGAGGAACUGGAGGAACUGCGAGUGUUACUGGCAAUGAAAGAAAGGGAAAGCACUAAGAAAAACAACACGCUGCAGAAGCUGAAGGAGACUUUUCUGGACUACCAUAGAAUCUUCGACGGUCUGCAGUGCGAUCUCAUGAGAUUACAGGAGCACUCACAGCAAACACUUCUGAGUUUCGAUAAAUGUUCAUCGAGUCUGAAAAGUCCUGCCGUCCCAAAUCAUUACUCCUUACACCAUGAGAUCCAGGAGGCCGAGCCG
This is a long non-coding RNA of Tachysurus vachellii, 337 nucleotides long. RefSeq lists it as uncharacterized. NCBI's taxonomy places the organism in Eukaryota, Metazoa, Chordata, Actinopteri, Siluriformes, Bagridae. The record is from RefSeq and is a predicted model, not a curated record. The transcript has 5 exons.